Long non-coding RNA from Gastrolobium bilobum, 497 nucleotides. RefSeq lists it as uncharacterized. The transcript has 4 exons. NCBI's taxonomy places the organism in Eukaryota, Viridiplantae, Streptophyta, Magnoliopsida, Fabales, Fabaceae. The record is from RefSeq and is a predicted model, not a curated record.
AUAAUACACACACAAACUGAAAUUGAUUUUUAAAAUCAAAAGUUCUGGUUUUCAUCAGGGAGUGAUGAUCAAUUUGGCUAAUAUUCUGAGUAGAAAGCUCAUAAUUGUAGAGUGCAUUUUCUUCUACACCUGUGUUACGAAAUUGUCUGAGUGCUUCCAAGUCAGGAACUGAGUCUUACAGAAUCAAUAGUCAGAAGACUCGGAACAAGAAAUCUUUUAUAUGGCAGGUGUAGAGGAGUUCAGCCAUAGUGGAUGCCCUUUUCACCACUUCGACAUACAAGGAGGCUGUAUCGAAGGGAAGAAGGUCAUCAUAGGGAAAUAAUCAAAGCGCUCUCUCUUGGGAUUUAUACACUUAAGAGGCAGCAAAGUUCAAUCCUCGUGAUCAACCUUCUUCACAUUUUGCAACUAAUCACUGCUAAUAGAUUACUUAGGUUUAAACUUUUGUAGUUUUAUUGGCACGUUAAUUCCAUUUAGGUUUGAUUUGCAAGAUUACUCAG